ACGGGUGAGUAAUGUCUGGGGAACUGCCCGAUGGAGGGGGAUAACUACUGGAAACGGUAGCUAAUACCGCAUAACGUCGCAAGACCAAAGAGGGGGACCUUCGGGCCUCUUGCCAUCGGAUGUGCCCAGAUGGGAUUAGCUUGUAGGUGAGGUAACGGCUCACCUAGGCGACGAUCCCUAGCUGGUCUGAGAGGAUGACCAGCCACACUGGAACUGAGACACGGUCCAGACUCCUACGGGAGGCAGCAGUGGGGAAUAUUGCACAAUGGGCGCAAGCCUGAUGCAGCCAUGCCGCGUAUAUGAAGAAGGCCUUCGGGUUGUAAAGUACUUUCAGCGGGGAGGAAGGGAGUGAGGUUAAUAACCUCAUUCAUUGACGUUACCCGCAGAAGAAGCACCGGCUAACUCCGUGCCAGCAGCCGCGGUAAUACGGAGGGUGCGAGCGUUAAUCGGAAUUACUGGGCGUAAAGCGCACGCAGGCGGUCUGUCAAGUCGGAUGUGAAAUCCCCGGGCUCAACCUGGGAACUGCAUUCGAAACUGGCAGGCUGGAGUCUUGUAGAGGGGGGUAGAAUUCCAGGUGUAGCGGUGAAAUGCGUAGAGAUCUGGAGGAAUACCGGUGGCGAAGGCGGCCCCCUGGACAAAGACUGACGCUCAGGUGCGAAAGCGUGGGGAGCAAACAGGAUUAGAUACCCUGGUAGUCCACGCUGUAAACGAUGUCGACUUGGAGGUUGUUCCCUUGAGGAGUGGCUUCCGGAGCUAACG
Molecule: ribosomal RNA, 759 nt
Filed under: uncultured bacterium
Lineage: Bacteria
Description: bacterial SSU rRNA
Rfam family: Bacterial small subunit ribosomal RNA
Source: RNAcentral